This 253-nucleotide long non-coding RNA is filed under the name Salvia miltiorrhiza (redroot sage). RNAcentral describes it as "long non-coding RNA (SMIL_LNC000229)". The record is from RNAcentral. Lineage: Eukaryota; Viridiplantae; Streptophyta; Magnoliopsida; Lamiales; Lamiaceae.
CUGAAUUAAUGAAUCCAAGAACAAGAGUGAAUAUGAUGAACAAGUAAGCUAGGAUAUAUAUAUUAUUGUGGUAUAUAGUAUAUAGUAAUGAGGUAGCUAGCGAGAUCCAUCUUGGACAUUACGCCAAAUUUGAGCGGCUAAAUGGGUUGCAAUGCCGGGAUCUACUUUGCAACUUUGUGCAGCCUGCCUAACCAUUACAUCGAAGAAGCAAGGAUCACUAACAUAAUUGUAAAGCAAUAAGGUGCAACCACCC